Molecule: ribosomal RNA, 446 nt
Filed under: uncultured bacterium
Lineage: Bacteria
Description: bacterial SSU rRNA
Rfam family: Bacterial small subunit ribosomal RNA
Source: RNAcentral
CCUACGGGGGGCUGCAGUCGAGAAUCUUCGGCAAUGGGCGCAAGCCUGACCGAGCGACGCCGCGUGCGGGAUGAAGGCCUUCGGGUUGUAAACCGCUUUGGUCCGAGAGAAAGGGCAACUUGAUCGAUCGGAGAAACAAGGACGGGCUAAGUUCGUGCCAGCAGCCGCGGUAAGACGAACCGUCCAAACGUUAUUCGGAAUCACUGGGCUUAAAGGGCGCGUAGGCGGCCGAGCGGGUCGCGGGUGAAAUCCCCCAGCUUAACUGGGGAACUGCCCUCGAUACCACUGCGGCUCGAGGAAGGAAGGGGUCAUGGGAACUGUCGGUGGAGCGGUGAAAUGCGUUGAUAUCGACAGGAACGCCGGUGGCGAAAGCGCAUGACUGGUCCUUUUCUGACGCUGAGGCGCGAAAGCCAGGGGAGCAAACGGGAUUAGAUACCCGAGUAGUC